Molecule: ribosomal RNA, 436 nt
Filed under: uncultured bacterium
Lineage: Bacteria
Description: bacterial SSU rRNA
Rfam family: Bacterial small subunit ribosomal RNA
Source: RNAcentral
AACCAACGCUGGCGGCGUGCCUAACACAUGCAAGUCGAACGCGAAAGCCCCGCAAGGGGCAAGUAGAGUGGCAAACGGGUGAGUAACACGUGGGUGACCUGCCUUCGAGUGGGGGAGUAACGUCCCGAAAGGGACGCUAAUACCGCAUGACAUCCUGCCUUUGGAAAGGCGGAGAUCAAAGCCGGGGAUCGCAAGACCUGGCGCUUGAGAGGGGCCCGCGCCUGAUUAGCUAGUUGGUGGGGUAACGGCCUACCAAGGCGACGAUCAGUAUCCGGCCUGAGAGGGCGGACGGACACACUGGGACUGAGACACGGCCCAGACUCCUACGGGAGGCAGCAGUGGGGAAUUGUUUCGCAAUGGGCGCAAGCCUGACGACGCAACGCCGCGUGGAGGACGAAGAUCUUCGGGUCGUAAACUCCUGUCGAGCGGGAAGAAU